GGAUGACUUAGAACAGCAGAAUAGGUAAUGAAGGAGUUGGUGUGAGUAUAAAUGUGGGUAUUGGGAGUGCUUAAUUCACAACACAUAUCAAUAUAAUUCUAUANUACUCACUCUCUCUAUUUCAUCAUCAUCAUGAAUAUUCUCAAAAUUAUGAUGUUUAUGUUUGUGGUGAGUGUGGUGUUGCAGGUUGCUUAUGGACAACACCAUAUCCGAUGCAUUCCAAAUGAGAGGGAAGCACUCCUUCAAUUCAAGGCUGCCAUUGUCGAUCGUUACGGUAUGCUCUCCUCUUGGACCACUCCCGACUGUUGCCAAUGGGAGGGGAUUCGCUGCAGUAACCUCACCGCUCAUAUUAUAAGCCUCCACCUUCCUGGACAGUAUUAUUAUGAAGUCUCUUGGCGUUACAUCAGCGGAGAGAUCCACAAGUCGUUAAUGGAGUUGCGACAGUUGCAGUAUUUGAACCUCAGUUUCAAUUAUUUUCGAGAGACUAAUAUUCCAGAGUUUCUUGGAUCUCUUACCAACUUGAGAUAUCUUGAUCUCUCUUCAUCUUAUUUUAGCGGACAAAUUCCAACUCAGAUAAGUUCUCUUUCUCAUUUGAAAUAUUUGAAUCUAUCAAGAAAUUACUAUUUGAAUGGUUCAAUCCCUCGUGAAAUUGGAAAUCUCUCUCGGUUAGAGUAUCUUGAUCUCAGUGACAAUUCUUUUGGAGGAUACAUUCCUUCCCAACUAGGAAACCUUUCAAAUUUGCAUAAACUCUAUCUUGGAGGAUAUCGUAGUGCUCUCAAAAUUGUCACUAGUGAUCAAUGGUUAUAUAAUCUUAAUUCUUUAACCCAUCUUUCCUUCACUUUCAUAUCUAAUUUUAAAAGUUCUCCUAGCUGGCUUCGAACCAUUGCCAAGCUACCAAAACUAAGAGAACUCAGUUUAAUUGGAUGUGGCCUUUCCGAUCAUUUCCUCCUUUCAUUCAACCCUUCCAACUUCAAUUUUUCUACUUCCCUUUCUGUCCUUGUUCUUUCUAGUAACUCCUUCACGCAACCGAUGAUAUUUCAGUGGCUGUCAAACACCACUUCCAACCUUGUUGAGCUUGAUCUAAGUUGGAACCUCUUGAAGGGUAUUACGUCAAAUCAUUUUGGCUUGGCCAUGAAUUCGCUCAAGCACCUUUACCUCUCGUAUAAUGUUUUCAAGGGUGAAGAUUUGAAAUCAUUCAUGAAUAUAUGCACCCUACAUUCAUUAUACAUGGAUGGAAACAAUAUGACCGAAGACCUUUCGUCAAUUCUUCAUAAUUUCUCCAGUGGUUGUGUUAGAUACUCAUUACAAAAAUUGAGUUUGGUAUCUAAUCAUAUCAGAGGCUCCGUACCUGACCUUUCAGCAUUUUCAAAUUUAAAAAUGUUGGAUCUUUCUUACAAUCAAUUGAGUGGGAAGAUACCUGAAGGCACUAGAUUGCCAUCUCAUUUGAAGCAGUUGUUAAUUAAGUCUAACUCUUUAGAAGGUGGUGUUCCAAAAUCAUUUGGGAGNACAUGUACUUUGGAGUUAUUGGAUUUGNCUGAUAAUAAGUUGAGUGAAAAUCUCACAGUGAUGUUUAAUCAUUUGUCUGGAUGUUCUAGAUACUCACUACAAGAGUUGAGUUUGGCAUACAAUCAAUUCAGAGGCUCCAUACCUGACCUUUCAGCAUUUUCAAAUUUAAAAGUGUUGGAUCUUUCUGACAAUCAAUUGAGUGGUACUUUGCCUAGCAACCUCGCAACAAUGUGCCCAUCAUUAAAAGAAUUGUACCUUGAUAGUAACAGGCUAAAUGGGACAAUUUCUGAAGAUCUUCGAUUUCCACCCGAACUUGAGGUAUUAAACUUGAUGUCAAACUCUUUGAAAGGUGUGUUAACUGACUCUCAUUUUUAUAAUAUGACAAAGUUAGGGAUAUUGAUGUUGUCAGAUAACUCAUUGACGUUAGAAGUUAGUGAAAAUUGGGCUUCAACUUUUCAAUUGGAUACUAUUGAAUUGAGGUCUUGCAAGCUUGGUCCAUUGUUUCCCAAAUGGCUAGAGAAACAAAACAAAUUUCAAGACCUUGACAUUUCAAAUAGUGGAAUAUCAGGUACNGUUCCAAAAUGGUUUUGGACCAAAUUUGGAUUCUCAAGUUGGAUGAGUAUUAAUAUUUCAUGUAAUAAUUUACAAGGUACGAUUCCAAAUUUACCAUUAGAGAAUAAAUAUUAUUCUCUUAGUCUGGCAUCAAAUCAAUUUGAAGGUNAUGUUCCACCAUUUUUACGAGACUCAAUAUUUCUUGAUCUAUCAAACAAUAAAUUCUCAAAUUCUUCUUNGUUUUUAUGNUCUAGUGGUGUAGUUGAAANUUUAUNCCGAUUAGACCUUUCANAUAAUAUGUUUUCUGGACAAAUUCCAGAAUGUUGGACCCAUUUCAAAUCAUUGGCUUACUUAAAUAUGAGUCAGAACAAAUUUAUAGGAGAGAUUCCCUCUUCAAUGGGAUCACUCCUUGAACUUCAAGUUUUGUUAUUGAGAANCAAUAGCUUAACAGGUAAAAUCCCUUCCAUCUUGAAGAAUUGCACACAAUUGGUGAUGAUAGACAUAGCAGAAAAUAGAUUAUCAGGAUCUAUCCCAAAUUGGAUAGGAAACAAAUUAUCGCAGUUGCAAUUUUUGAGCUUAAGAAGCAACUAUUUCCGUGGGAGUUUACCGUUACAAAUUUGUUAUCUAAAAAGCAUUCAACUCUUAGAUCUCUCUCAAAACAACCUAUCCGGAGAAAUUCCUAAAUGCAUAAAAAACUUUUCCUCAAUGACUCAAACCACUUCUUUGAGAGAUUAUCAAGGUCAUCAAUAUUCAGUCAACACUAAUUAUAUCUCAGGUAACUUUUCAUAUGAUUUGAAUGCAAUCUUAAUGUGGAAAGGUUCAGAAGAAAUGUUCACAGACACAGGAUUAUCACUUUUAAAAAGCAUUGAUCUCUCAAGCAAUCAAUUAUCAGGAGAAAUUCCAAAAGAAAUAGAGGGUUUAUUUGGAUUGGUGUCAUUGAAUUUAUCAAGAAACCAAAUCAAAGGGAAAAUUCCUUCAAAUGUUGGAGAGUUAACAUCACUUGAAUUUCUUGAUUUGUCACAAAACCAACUUGUUGGUUCUAUUCCUUCAAGUCUUGCUCAAAUUGAUCGACUCACUAUGUUAGAUUUGUCACAUAAUUAUUUAUCUGGAAAAAUUCCAAUUGGUACACAAUUGCAGAGUUUUGAUGCAUCCAAAUAUGAAGAUAAUGUUGAUCUCUGUGGACCACCGUUAAAGAAAUUGUGCAUUGAUGGAGUUGCAAGACAAGAACCAAUUGUUAAAUUUCAAGAGGAUGACAAUUUAAUUUUCAACCGUGAAUAUUAUAUAAGUAUGACAAUUGGAUUUGUUAUAACCUUUUGGGGAGUGUUUGGCUCAAUCUUAAUAAUACGUUCUUGGCGUCAUGCAUAUUUCGAAUUCUUAAGUAAUUUAUCAGACAGCCUCUAUGUGAUGACAAUAGUGAAAGUUUUGAAGAGACUACACACAACAUAGCAGGUAAUAUAUUUUAACCUUUUGUUACAAACUUAAUAUUUU
RNAcentral lists this long non-coding RNA (3546 nucleotides) under Vigna radiata. Its description in RNAcentral is "long non-coding RNA (VRAD_LNC001221)". Lineage: Eukaryota; Viridiplantae; Streptophyta; Magnoliopsida; Fabales; Fabaceae. The record is from RNAcentral.